This 744-nucleotide ribosomal RNA is filed under the name uncultured bacterium. Its description in RNAcentral is "bacterial SSU rRNA". It matches the Rfam family "Bacterial small subunit ribosomal RNA", at positions 8 to 796 of the family's 1533-position model. The record is from RNAcentral.
AGAGUUUGAUCAUGGCUCAGAACGAACGCUGGCGGCAGGCCUCAAACAUGCAAGUCUAGGGGGUGUAGCAAUACAUCACCGGCGGACGGGUGCGUAACACGUGGGAAUAUACCUUUUGGUUCGGAACAACGCAGGGAAACUUGCGCUAAUACCGAAUGUGCCCUUACGGGGAAAGAUUUAUCGCCAAAGGAUUAGCCCGCGUCCGAUUAGCUAGUUGGUGAGGUAAUGGCUCACCAAGGCUCCGAUCGGUAGCUGUUCUGAGAGGAAGAUCAGCCACACUGGGACUGAGACACGGCCCAGACUCCUACGGGAGGCAGCAGUUGGGAAUCUUGGACAAUGGGGGAAACCCUGAUCCAGCCAUGCCGCGUGAGUGAUGAAGGCCUUCGGGUUGUAAAACUCUUUCGACGGGGACGAUAAUGACGGUACCCGUAGAAGAAGCUCCGGCUAACUUCGUGCCAGCAGCCGCGGUAAUACGAAGGGGGCUAGCGUUGUUCGGAAUUACUGGGCGUAAAGCGCGCGCAGGCGGUUUUUCAAGUCAGUGGUGAAAGCCCGGAGCUCAACUCCGGAACUGCCAUUGAAACUGUGAAACUUGAGGAUGAGAGAGGUGAGUGGAAUUCCCAGUGUAGAGGUGAAAUUCGUAGAUAUUGGGAAGAACACCGGUGGCGAAGGCGGCUCACUGGCUCAUUUCUGACGCUCAGGCGCGACAGCGUGGGGAUCAAACAGGAUUAGAUACCCUGGUAGUCC